UGCCUGCCCGGUGAUUAUUAAAAUUAAACGGCUGCGGUACUCUGACCGUGCAAAGGUAGCAUAAUCAUUAGCCUGUUAAUUUCAGGCUGGAAUCAAUGGCAAGACGAGGGAAAGACUGUCUCUUUCUAUUGUUUUAGAAAUUUUCUUUUUGGUGAAGAGGCCAAAAUGAGAAAGUGGGACGAGAAGACCCUAUUGAGUUUUAGUCAUUUAAUAAAAAGAUAAUUUUUUUUUGAUGACUUUGGUUGGGGCAACUAUUUAUUAAAUUAAACAUUUAUAAAAAAAAGGUGAAUUAAAUCUUAAAUAAAAUAAACCCAGAAAUUUGUUUUGGAAUUAAAAAAAAUUACCUUAGGGAUAACAGCGUAAUUCUUUUUGAGAGUACAUAUUGACAGAAGAGUUUGCGACCUCGAUGUUGGAUCAAGUUUUCCUGAAGGUGCAGCAGCUUUCAAUGGUUGGUUUGUUCAACCAUAAAAAUCUU
Molecule: ribosomal RNA, 475 nt
Filed under: Astrothorax waitei
Lineage: Eukaryota; Metazoa; Echinodermata; Ophiuroidea; Euryalida; Gorgonocephalidae
Description: partial 16S ribosomal RNA
Rfam family: Bacterial large subunit ribosomal RNA
Source: RNAcentral